GACGAACGCUGGCGGCGUGCUUAACACAUGCAAGUCGAACGGAAAGGCCCUGCUUGCAGGGUACUCGAGUGGCGAACGGGUGAGUAACACGUGGGUGAUCUGCCCUGCACUUCGGGAUAAGCUUGGUAAACUGGGUCUAAUACCGGAUAGGACCGCACUUUAGUGUGUGUGGUGGAAAGUUUUUUCGGUGUAGGAUGAGCUCGCGGCCUAUCAGCUUGUUGGUGGGGUAAUGGCCUACCAAGGCGGCGACGGGUAGCCGGCCUGAGAGGGUGUACGGCCACAUUGGGACUGAGAUACGGCCCAGACUCCUACGGGAGGCAGCAGUGGGGAAUAUUGCACAAUGGGCGCAAGCCUGAUGCAGCGACGCCGCGUGGGGGAUGAAGGCCUUCGGGUUGUAAACUCCUUUCGCUAGGGACGAAGCUUUUUGUGACGGUACCUAGAUAAGAAGCACCGGCUAACUACGUG
Molecule: ribosomal RNA, 465 nt
Filed under: uncultured bacterium
Lineage: Bacteria
Description: partial 16S ribosomal RNA
Rfam family: Bacterial small subunit ribosomal RNA
Source: RNAcentral